UUGUUGCCUCGGCGGAUCAGCCCGCUCCCGGUAAAACGGGACGGCCCGCCAGAGGACCCCUAAACUCUGUUUCUAUAUGUAACUUCUGAGUAAAACCAUAAAUAAAUCAAAACUUUCAACAACGGAUCUCUUGGUUCUGGCAUCGAUGAAGAACGCAGCAAAAUGCGAUAAGUAAUGUGAAUUGCAGAAUUCAGUGAAUCAUCGAAUCUUUGAACGCACAUUGCGCCCGCCAGUAUUCUGGCGGGCAUGCCUGUUCGAGCGUCAUUUCAACCCUCAAGCCCAGCUUGGUGUUGGGACUCGCGAGUUAAAUCGCGUUCCCCAAAUUGAUUGGCGGUCACGUCGAGCUUCCAUAGCGUAGUAGUAAAACCCUCGUUACUGGUAAUCGUCGCGGCCACGCCGUUAAACCCCAACUUCUGAAUGUUGACCUCGGAUCAGGUAGGAAUACCCGCUGAACUUAAGCAUAU
RNAcentral lists this ribosomal RNA (464 nucleotides) under Fusarium circinatum. RNAcentral's name for it is "eukaryotic LSU rRNA". The stretch from base 111 to 264 matches the Rfam family "5.8S ribosomal RNA". The record is from RNAcentral. Lineage: Eukaryota; Fungi; Ascomycota; Sordariomycetes; Hypocreales; Nectriaceae.